RNAcentral lists this ribosomal RNA (206 nucleotides) under uncultured bacterium. Its description in RNAcentral is "partial 16S ribosomal RNA". It matches the Rfam family "Bacterial small subunit ribosomal RNA", at positions 568 to 774 of the family's 1533-position model. The record is from RNAcentral.
UGCGUAGGCGGCUUGUCAAGCCAGAGGUGAAAGGCAUUGGCUCAACCAAUGUAAGCCUUUGGAACUGACGAACUUGAGUACAGGAGAGGUAAGUGGAAUUCCUAGUGUAGAGGUGAAAUUCGUAGAUAUUAGGAGGAACACCAGUGGCGAAGGCGACUUACUGGACUGUAACUGACGCUGAGGCACGAAAGCGUGGGCAGCGAACA